This 565-nucleotide ribosomal RNA is filed under the name uncultured bacterium. Its description in RNAcentral is "partial 16S ribosomal RNA". It matches the Rfam family "Bacterial small subunit ribosomal RNA", at positions 355 to 1375 of the family's 1533-position model. The record is from RNAcentral.
UGGGGAAUAUUGGACAAUGGGCGCAAGCCUGAUCCAGCCAUGCCGCGUGAGUGAUGAAGGCCCUAGGGUUGUAAAGCUCUUUCAGCGAGGAGGAUAAUGACGUUACUCGCAGAAGAAGCCCCGGCUAACUUCGUGCCAGCAGCCGCGGUAAUACGAAGGGGGCUAGCGUUGUUCGGAAUCACUGGGCGUAAAGCGCACGUAGGCGGACUUUUAAAGUCAGGGGUGAAAUCCCGGGGCUCAACCUCGGAACUGCCUUUGAUACUGGAAGUCUGGAGUCCGAGAGAGGUGAGUGGAACUCCGAGUGUAGAGGUGAAAUUCGUAGAUAUUCGGAAGAACACCAGUGGCGAAGGCGGCUCACUGGCUCGGUACUGACGCUGAGGUGCGAAAAGCGUGGGGAGCAAAACAGGAUUAGAUACCCUGGUAGUCCACGCCGUAAAACGAUGGAAGCUAGCCGUCAGGGUGCAUGCAUCUUGGUGGCGCAGUUAACGCAUUAAGCUUCCCGCCUGGGGAGUACGGUCGCAAGAUUAAAAACUCAAAGGAAUUGACGGGGUCAUAGCUGUUUCCU